UCCGUAGGGCGCAAGCGUUGUCCGGAAUUAUUGGGCGUAAAGAGCUCGUAGGCGGCUUGUCACGUCGGGUGUGAAAGCCCGGGGCUUAACCCCGGGUCUGCAUUCGAUACGGGCUAGCUAGAGUGUGGUAGGGGAGAUCGGAAUUCCUGGUGUAGCGGUGAAAUGCGCAGAUAUCAGGAGGAACACCGGUGGCGAAGGCGGAUCUCUGGGCCAUUACUGACGCUGAGGAGCGAAAGCGUGGGGAGCGAACAGG
This 253-nucleotide ribosomal RNA is filed under the name uncultured bacterium. RNAcentral describes it as "partial 16S ribosomal RNA". It matches the Rfam family "Bacterial small subunit ribosomal RNA", at positions 524 to 776 of the family's 1533-position model. The record is from RNAcentral.